Molecule: microRNA precursor, 79 nt
Filed under: Marmota monax (woodchuck)
Lineage: Eukaryota; Metazoa; Chordata; Mammalia; Rodentia; Sciuridae
Source: RNAcentral
UCUUUCUUUCUCUUUCUUUCUUUCUCUCCCUCUUUCUUUCAGACAGAGAGAGAGAGAGAGAGAGAGAGAGAGAGAGAGA